This 530-nucleotide ribosomal RNA is filed under the name Streptomyces sp. SCAU5208. Its description in RNAcentral is "bacterial SSU rRNA". It matches the Rfam family "Bacterial small subunit ribosomal RNA", at positions 86 to 630 of the family's 1533-position model. The record is from RNAcentral. Lineage: Bacteria; Bacillati; Actinomycetota; Actinomycetes; Kitasatosporales; Streptomycetaceae.
GGUGGAUUAGUGGCGAACGGGUGAGUAACACGUGGGCAAUCUGCCCUUCACUCUGGGACAAGCCCUGGAAACGGGGUCUAAUACCGGAUAACACUCCUACAGGCAUCUGUGGGGGUUGAAAGCUCCGGCGGUGAAGGAUGAGCCCGCGGCCUAUCAGCUUGUUGGUGAGGUAGAAGCUCACCAAGGCGACGACGGGUAGCCGGCCUGAGAGGGCGACCGGCCACACUGGGACUGAGACACGGCCCAGACUCCUACGGGAGGCAGCAGUGGGGAAUAUUGCACAAUGGGCGAAAGCCUGAUGCAGCGACGCCGCGUGAGGGAUGACGGCCUUCGGGUUGUAAACCUCUUUCAGCAGGGAAGAAGCGAAAGUGACGGUACCUGCAGAAGAAGCGCCGGCUAACUACGUGCCAGCAGCCGCGGUAAUACGUAGGGCGCAAGCGUUGUCCGGAAUUAUUGGGCGUAAAGAGCUCGUAGGCGGUCUGUCGCGUCGGAUGUGAAAGCCCGGGGCUUAACCCCGGGUCUGCAUUCGA